CCUACGGGUGGCUGCAGUAGGGAAUCUUCCGCAAUGGACGCAAGUCUGACGGAGCAACGCCGCGUGAGUGAAGAAGGUUUUCGGAUCGUAAAGCUCUGUUGUAAGUCAAGAACGAGUGUGAGAGUGGAAAGUUCACACUGUGACGGUAGCUUACCAGAAAGGGACGGCUAACUACAUGCCAGCAGCCGCGGUAAUACGUAGGUCCCGAGCGUUGUCCGGAUUUAUUGGGCGUAAAGCGAGCGCAGGCGGUUUGAUAAGUCUGAAGUUAAAGGCUGUGGCUUAACCAUAGUACGCUUUGGAAACUGUUUAACUUGAGUGCAAGAGGGGAGAGUGGAAUUCCAUGUGUAGCGGUGAAAUGCGUAGAUAUAUGGAGGAACACCGGUGGCGAAAGCGGCUCUCUGGCUUGUAACUGACGCUGAGGCUCGAAAGCGUGGGGAGCAAACAGGAUUAGAUACCCCGGUAGUC
This 465-nucleotide ribosomal RNA is filed under the name uncultured Streptococcus sp. RNAcentral describes it as "bacterial SSU rRNA". It matches the Rfam family "Bacterial small subunit ribosomal RNA", at positions 338 to 795 of the family's 1533-position model. The record is from RNAcentral. Lineage: Bacteria; Bacillati; Bacillota; Bacilli; Lactobacillales; Streptococcaceae.